This is a long non-coding RNA of Dreissena polymorpha, 4421 nucleotides long. RefSeq lists it as uncharacterized. The record is from RefSeq and is a predicted model, not a curated record. NCBI's taxonomy places the organism in Eukaryota, Metazoa, Mollusca, Bivalvia, Myida, Dreissenidae. The transcript is spliced from 2 exons.
AAAUGUUAAAGUUCUUAUUUCAUGGUAUAACUUUGGUAUGCUUGGACCUAGAGUCUUCAAACUUGACAUGAAGGUUGGCCAGGAUUAACAGAUGACCACUGGUCAUUUCAAGGUCAUUCAUUUGAAGGUCAAGGUCACUGUGACCUUCAAUAUAAAAAAUGUUAAAGUUCUUAUAACUUUGGUAUGCUUGGACCUAGAGUCUUGAAACUUGACAUGAAGGUUUGCCAUAACUAGUUAGUAACCACUGGUCAUUUCAAGGUCAUUCAUUUGAAGGUCAAGGUCACUGUGACCUUGAAUGUAAAAAUGUUAAAGUUCUUAUUUCAUGGUAUAACUUUGGUAUGCUUGGACCUAGAGUCUUCAAACUUGACAUGAAGGUUGGCCAGGAUUAACAGAUGACCACUGGUCAUUUCAAGGUCAUUCAUUUGAAGGUGAAGGUCACUGUGACCUUCAAUAUAAAAAUGUUAAAGUUGUUAUAACUUUGGUAUGCUUGGACCUAGAGUCUUGAAACUUGACAUGAAGGUUGGCCAGAACUAGUAAGUAACCACUGGACAUUUCAAGGUCAUUCAUUUGAAGGUCAAGGUCACUGUGACCUUGAAUGUAAAAAUGUUAAAGUUGUUAUAACUUUGGUAUGCUUGGACCUAGAGUCUUGAAACUUGACAUGAAGGUUGGCCAGAACUAGUAAGUAACCACUGGACAUUUCAAGGUCAUUCAUUUGAAGGUCAAGGUCACUGUGACCUUGAAUGUAAAAAUGUUAAAGUUCUUAUUUCAUGUUAUAACUUUGGUAUGCUUGUACCUAGAGUCUUCAAACUUGAAAUAAAGAUUGGCCAGUACUAGAAGAUGACCACUGGUCAUUUCAAUGUCAUUCAUUUGAAGGUCAAGGUCACUGUGACCUUCAAUGUUAAAAUGUUAAAAUUGUUAUAACUUUGGUAUGCUUGGACCUAGAAACUAGAACUGGUGUGAUAGAAACCUUUUGGAGUGAUCAUAAGGCUGUCUGGAUUUCUGUGUAGGUAUGUGAAAGCAAAACAAUAAAUAGUAUUAUUUCAUCUAAGUUUAUUUUCUUACAUUUGAUAAUGAAAUUGAUGGAAACUUCAAACAAUAUCUUACUAAUUUGCUAAUAAAAAAAUUGAGAUCAAACUUUCCUAAUUGUCAAUUCAAGUUCAUAUUUGUGACCUUAAAUGUUAUUGUUGUUCAUGUAUAUGCAUGCAUUCAAAACAUAACACAAGGUUUGCUCAUGCCUUGAAAAGUACUUACAUUUCAUUUUGACCUUUGAACAAUAUUUCAGUAAUUUAAGUAUUGCAUUGACAAAAACACGAAAGGUACUUUCCUGUCAUUUAAAUCAAAAAUCCGGCUUCAAUGCGGUCAUCUCCGACCGCGGAACUCUUGUUAUCAAAUUGUAAAAAAACUAUUGAUAAAUAGUUUUGAGGGAAAAAACUAAUUGUUACAAAAAGCUUGCGGUGAAAACUAAUUGACCCAAAAUCUUAUCUGUUGCCCUGCAAGACAUGUUCAGUCAAAUUGCCAUUAUAUGAAUCUGGAAUCUGACCAAUACUGGUGUAAUACAAAUCAAAGCUGUACUCUCCCAUCAUUUUGCCUCAUUUAUUCAAUGUCUAUAAAGAUAUGAUAACACAUAUCGCUUUUAUACAACAACAAAACUCAAUUAUAUGAUUAAUUAUCAAGGUCCAACAACAAUUUAAUCAUGUAUGAAAAAGAUGCUUUUACAUGAAUAGCCAACAUGUGGUUAUUUUCACACUUUUUCUAGUGAGAUCAGUCAUCUUUUAUUAACCCUUGGCAUGCUGGGUAAUUUGUCAUCUGCUAAAAUGUCGUCUGCUGAAUUUCUAAAAUUAGCAUUUUUCUUCAAUUUUUUUCAAAGAAUACUAUCAGAAUAGCAAACAGUUUGGAUCCAGAUGAGACGCCACGUUCUGUGGCGUCUCAUCUCGAUCUAAACUGUUUGCAAAGGCCUUCAAAAUUCGGUUCCAGCACUGUAAGGGUUAACAAUAAAGGGGUUACAUUGAGAUAUGCAGCACAAUCCAAACAUUUAGGCGUAUCAUUAAUUUAAUAAAGAAUCAAAUGGUUUGGGUUAUUUCUCCACUUUUCUGUAAUGAACUUUAUAUUAUAUUUAUUUAUUGUCAUGUAUAUAUGUAUAUAAAGUCUUGUUAAUAAAAAAUAUUAUUCAAUAAAUAUUUCAUGGGACAUGUUAACAGAUUGUCAAAAUGACAGUUUUGCAAUUAUUUGCCACAUAUUUAAGAAGUAAAAGAACAGUGUACAUUGUUGAGUGAAAUAACGUUAAUGCUGUAGAAUUGUACAGACAUUUUAAAAUACAGUUUCGUUAAUGAAUUCUCAUCAUUUUAAGUUGAUAAAUUAAAAAGCAUUGCAAUCGCAAAAUAAUUAAAUAAUUUUGAAUGUUUCCUGUUGUUUUUAUUACAAAACGAGGCUCAAUUAUUUUAAGUAUCAAGUUCUAAUAUAAAAUAGGCAGGAUAGCUUAGUGGUGAAGGCUUAAGCCAUUUAAACCAAAGGAUACUGAUGAAAGUCCUAAUGGUGACAAAAUUAUUUUAUUUUUCUUAAAUUAUAUUUGUGUUAUUAUAAUCGACCUUUACCUAUCCCAUGUUUAAAUCUAGCCUUUUCCUUGACGAUCACUACUAGUACUCAUUAGUACAUCUUAUGGUCACCACUAUAGCAUGUCGAGGGGAACCACUUUAUUGACAAUUUUUAUGUCCAUUUGUCUAACACCAAUAACUUCUUGAAGCAACACAUUUUCGCACCCUUAGCAAUAAGGUCUGUAUAUUGCCUUGGAAUACUGAAUAGUUGCUAAAAUAUAAAUAAUAAGAUGCUUCGGCAUAAGGGUUUUGAUUUCUAUCUAAAAAUCUAGAUGUCUCGGGUGCGAUCACGACUUUAAGGGGCCUUUUCACAUUUUGGUAAAUUGAAAAAAAUUACAAAAAUGUGUUUCAGAUUCGCAGAUUGUUUUUCGUUUUAGUUAUGCUUUUUGUGAAGAAACAGUAAAACUGAACAUUAACCAUGCUCUAAAAUAUCCGUUACAUGCAUCUUUUGACACUUUAAAACCCUGAAAAUUAUAAAACAUUGCAACUCUAAACGAUUGUGCAAUUUUGAGAGUUCUGUUAUUGUUGUUAUUUUUUGUGACACUAUGAGGGUGUAAUUUAAAAACCAUCUUAGGGUAGGAAAAUGCCUUACCUCCCUUUCAAGAUUUAGUUCAACUCUUUAUAUAGGUCCAGCAAAGUUAACCCUUUGCAUGCUGGGUAAUUUGUCUUCUGCUAAAAUGUCGUCUGCUGAAUUUCUAAAAAUAGCAUUUUUUUCGAUUUUUUUCAAAGAAUACUAUCAUAAUAGCAAACAGUUUGGAUCCUGAUGAGACGCCACAUUAUGUGGCGUCUCAUCUGAAUCCAAACUGUUUGCAAAGGCCUCCAAAAUUCGGUUCCCGCACUGAAAGAGUUAACAACUAUUUGUAAAAUAAGUUUGACAUUCAAAGGGAGGAAAUCAGCUGUGAGGAGGAAAAAAUCAUACACCUGCUCAUUCAUUGUAUAAGCACGGAGGUCCGAAUGGUCUAAGCAAUAGACUUUUACUCCAAGUGUCAGUGUUUUGAGCCCAGUUGAAGUUUUUUUUCUUUAAUUUUAUUAUUGUUUUUUACUGGAGCUGUUUAGAUCCAAUAAUUACAUUUAUCAAUAUCAAGCAUUUUAUGACAAACUUCAAUGUCUGCCAAAAUUUGUGAACAGGUCCCUUUAACACUUUGUCUUUCAGAAGCAAAGUAAAUAUGGCUAUGUGCAAACAGCAUAAAACCAGAACAGCCUGCGAGUAGUUUGCAGGCUGUUCAUGGUUUUUGCUACUAAUCAGUAUCAAAGGGUAGGAAUUGAAGCCUUUAAAACAUGAAUCUAAUAAAAAAGGUCUUUAAUUAAAUUUUAUUUAACUUUCUAGGGGACUACAAAUGGGUCAAAAUAUGAAUCUAAGAGGUCAAGGAUUAACUUUCUAAGGGACUACAAAUUUGUAAAAAUAUGUAUCUAUGUGGUAAAUGGUGAAAGAGCAUUUCAAAGAUCUUUUCUGAUUCUACUAAUGGAACUGAAUCCGAAGGCUUUCAAUAACUCUUUGGUGUUUCUUGCAAUCUAAGCUUAAUAGAAUAUGUUCCCAUGCUGGUCUGCCAUUUCAUCCUCCCCUUUUGCAUUGCAGCAUCCUGUACCUUUACUGAUCCUAGAUCUUCCCCUAUCGUAGCCCAUUUUGUAUGUUUAGUUUAGACAUGUUAUUACUGUUCAAUUGUAUACAUGUAGUUAAACAUUUUUAAAACCAUUUAUGCCUUGCAGUUAACUUGUCUUAUCAUCAAUGGUUUUUUUAUUUUCCUUCUAGUGCAUAAUUUUUUGUAGGCAUCGAUGUUGGAAUUCCUCUGGAACUUAGUUUUAAAAAGUUUAAUAAACAUCCAAAAAAUA